Molecule: non-coding RNA, 1498 nt
Organism: Ictidomys tridecemlineatus (thirteen-lined ground squirrel)
Lineage: Eukaryota; Metazoa; Chordata; Mammalia; Rodentia; Sciuridae
Source: RefSeq, a predicted model, not a curated record
CAAGAGCGUCCCUGCAUCCAGCCGCCACAGUGUGAAGUGAGUUUCAGAGGAAGAGAUGGCUUAAGGGUCCCUCUACAGGCAGAUCAGAACCACGGUGCUUCUGGGUAGAAGCAGAGGUGAGACGUUCGGGCGAGGAGACAUGAGGAAAAGGGACAGGCACCAAGCACUUCUGAACCACUGUGCACCCUCUAAAUAGCAGUGAUUGCCUUUAUUUAUCCAGCGCCUCUGUCCAGGAAGCUGCACGCACAGCACAGACUGCCUCCCCAGGCGUCCCAGCGCCCCUGCGAGCUGAGGAUCAAGGACGGGGAUUAUUUUACAGAUGGGAGAACUGGCACUUGGAGGCAGUGUGUGUGCCAAGGCCCCUUCAGAAGGCAGCAGCACAGCCAGGAACAGGAUGCAGGUAAAAAUAACAACAAUACAUUUUUCUUUUUUUAAUUGCUUCUUAGCAUCUUCCCUGCUGGAUUGAGAUCUGUUUCACAAAACUACUUGAAAGAGUCAGAGUCUUUGAUUCUCCCCAGCAAAAGGAACUUUCACACUUGGAAGGCGGUUGUUGAAGCCCCCGGCCGGCCGUGUGGCCCGAAGGCAUCAAGGGUGGGCCUCGGACUUCAUUUAUCAACCUGAAGAGCACCAGAGGAGCCCCGCAGAUGCUCUGCAAUUCACCCUCUGGAAGUACUUUCAGGAGAUUCAUUUUGGUACCUCCCAACCAUGGGAGGUACCAAAAUGAGUAAGUUCAUCUGGGAACCUUAAUCAAUCAAACAAAUGUUUAUUGAUUUUCUACCAUACUCAGAUCUAGUGCCACAAAUGAACAGCCAUCGUUGCCCGUGGUCCUCACCUGAUCAAACUACUGUGCACUUAGCACAGCGCCUUUUACAGAGGCCGCGUGAAGAGCACGAGGUGCCCAGGAAGGAAUGAAGAGAAGAUGAACAGGAAGUCACCCUGCUGGUGGCAGAAGAGGGUGCAUUAGGGUUCUGAGGAAAGGAGGCUGUUGUGGCCUGAGGUCAGGUAGCCAUGACCAAGGGGGGAGUCCUUUGAGGGUCAGGGAUCUGUGAUUGGAAUGAGAUGGUGCCAGUGCCAGACAGAGUUGACCCUGGACACCCUGGGUGCUUCAGCCCUCCUAGAGUGAGCUUCAGAGACAGGACAGGGCGUGCUGAGUUGUAAACGUGUGUUUGCCUUUGGGUUGCUGUUCCCUCCCAAGACCCAGUUCCUCCUGGUGGAACCAUGCUGCUCUCAAGGCUGCACCCCCAGCACCUCACCCUAAAUCUGGCACAGAACAAGUGAUCAUGACAGUAUCAUCAUGACUGGACAAUAAGAGUAUAAUGGUAAAGUCCAAUGCUACGUUCCAUAUAUCCAGAACAAAGAGUCGGUGAUAAGUGGGUGGACCCUCGACGUUCCCAUGUAGCUGAGAACUGAGUCCUGGCUCUGCCACUUACUCCCCUUGUGGCCUGAGGACAAGGCUCCAAAUCUCCUUUUCUUCAUUUAUAAAAUAUGAAAGAAAUCA